UUUGAGUGUUGUGUCUGCUUCACAUCCCAGACGGGGGAGGGGACGAGCCGCGAGCGGGAACCAGAGAGGGACCCGAAGGGGGGCGCAAGCGNCGNCGAGAACGCCCGGGAGGCCCCACCGCGAGCCAACGAAACCCAAAGGGGAGGGAGCAAGCGCCCGCCGGGGGCCGAGGCAAGCGCAUGAAGGAACCCCGCGAGGGGGAGUGGGUGGCGAGGAAUCAAGCUCAAAGGAAAUGGCAGGGAACCCCCCACAACGGGGGAGCCAGGGGGUAAAAUCAAAACAACGCGAAGAGCCUUUGCCAGGCCUUGCCAUCCUGCAGGCAGAGGCAUGGAAGGGCUUUCCCUUCGGGGCAGCAGGGCCAGGGGGGGCAGGGUGGUCGGCAGCUCGGUUCGUGAGAUGUGGGGUAAGUCCCGCAACGAGCGCAACCCCUGUUCCCAGUAGCCAGCGUAUCGGCAGGGCACUCUGGGGAGACAGCCAGGGACAACCUGGAGGAAGGCGGGGAUGACGUCAAAUCAUCAUGCCCCUUAUGGCCUGGGCGACACACGUGCNACAAUGACGCAGACAGAGGGAGGCGAAGCCGCGAGGCGGAGCAAACCCCAGAAAUGGCGUCUCAGUUCGGACUGCAGCCUGCAACCCGGCCGCACGAAGCCGGAAUCGCUAGUAAUCGCAGAUCAGCAUGCUGCGGUGAAUAAGUUCCCGGGUCUUGUACACACCGCCCGUCACACCAUGGGAGUCGGAAAUGCCCGAAGUCAGUGGCCCAACCGCAAGGAGGGAGCUGCCGAAGGCAGGUCCGGUGACUGGGGUGAAGUCGUAACAAGG
Molecule: ribosomal RNA, 819 nt
Filed under: uncultured bacterium
Lineage: Bacteria
Description: bacterial SSU rRNA
Rfam family: Bacterial small subunit ribosomal RNA (bases 198-819)
Source: RNAcentral